Molecule: ribosomal RNA, 301 nt
Filed under: uncultured bacterium
Lineage: Bacteria
Description: partial 16S ribosomal RNA
Rfam family: Bacterial small subunit ribosomal RNA
Source: RNAcentral
CAGCAGCCGCGGUAAUACGAAGGGGGCUAGCGUUGUUCGGAUUUACUGGGCGUAAAGCGCACGUAGGCGGAUCGAUCAGUCAGGGGUGAAAUCCUGGAGCUCAACUCCAGAACUGCCUUUGAUACUGUCGAUCUCGAGUCCGGAAGAGGUGAGUGGAAUUCCGAGUGUAGAGGUGAAAUUCGUAGAUAUUCGGAAGAACACCAGUGGCGAAGGCGGCUCACUGGACUGGUAUUGACGCUGAGGUGCGAAAGCGUGGGGAGCAAACAGGAUUAGAUACCCGUGUAGUCCCUGUCUCUUAUAU